Molecule: ribosomal RNA, 710 nt
Filed under: uncultured delta proteobacterium
Lineage: Bacteria; Deltaproteobacteria
Description: bacterial SSU rRNA
Rfam family: Bacterial small subunit ribosomal RNA
Source: RNAcentral
CCGAUUCGUCGGGAGAGUAAAGUGGCGAACGGGUGAGUAACACGAGGGUAAUCUACCCUUAAAUUAGGGAUAACCUUGCGAAAGCGAAGCUAAUACCUGAUAAGACUACGAUCUCCAAGGAGAUAGUAGGAAAAGAUGGCCUCUGUUUCAUGCUAUUGUUUAAGGAUGAGCCCUUGCACUAUUAGCUUGUUGGUGGGGUAAUGGCUCACCAAGGCUACGAUGGUUAGCUGGUCUGAGAGGAUGAUCAGCCACACUGGAACUGAGACACGGUCCAGACUCCUACGGGAGGCAGCAGUGAGGAGUAUUGCGCAAUGGGGGAAACCCUGACGCAGUGACGCCGCGUGAGCGAUGAAGGCUUUCGAGUCGCAAAGCUCUGUUAGGUGGAAAGAAACAUUUCAGUGCCAAUACCACUGGAAUUUGACGGUACCACCAGAGGAAGCACCGGCUAACUCCGUGCCAGCAGCCGCGGUAAUACGGAGGGUGCAAGCGUUGUUCGGAUUUACUGGGCGUAAAGGGCGUGUAGGCGGCUAGGCAAGUCAGGUGUGAAAUCCCUUGGCUCAACCAAGGAAGUGCAUUUGAAACUGCUUAGCUAGAGUACAGGAGGGGAAAGUGGAAUUCCCAGUGUAGAGGUGAAAUUCAUAGAUAUUGGGAGGAACACCAGUAGCGAAGGCGGCUUUCUGGCCUGAUACUGACGCUGAGACGCGAAAGCG